Molecule: ribosomal RNA, 305 nt
Filed under: uncultured bacterium
Lineage: Bacteria
Description: bacterial SSU rRNA
Rfam family: Bacterial small subunit ribosomal RNA
Source: RNAcentral
UCCCUACGGGACGCAGCAGUGAGGAAUAUUGGUCAAUGGGCGGGAGCCUGAACCAGCCAAGUCGCGUGAGGGAAGACGGUCCUAUGGAUUGUAAACCUCUUUAGGCGGGGAGCAAUGCCGGGCACGUGUGCCCGGAGGGAGAGUACCCGCAGAAUAAGCAUCGGCUAACUCCGUGCCAGCAGCCGCGGUAAUACGGAGGAUGCGAGCGUUAUCCGGAAUGAUUGGGCGUAAAGGGUGCGUAGGCGGCCUGCUAAGUCUGGAGUGAAAGGUACCGGCUCAACCGGUACAGGCCCUGGAAACUGGCG